RNAcentral lists this unclassified non-coding RNA (279 nucleotides) under plant metagenome. RNAcentral describes it as "partial contains small subunit ribosomal RNA, internal transcribed spacer 1, and 5.8S ribosomal RNA". The record is from RNAcentral.
UUUCCGUAGGUGAACCUGCGGAAGGAUCAUUAUUGAAUAACAGAGGUGCGAGGUUUGUCGCUGACUCGGAAGCUCGUGGACACUCGCGUGCCCUCAUACUCAUUUAUCUCACCCAUAUGUGCACCUCCGUGUGGGUACACAUUUGGUUUGUUCGGUGGUGGGUAAAAGACUUCACACUAACUUUGUAUGCAGUGUAGAAUGUAUUUUUUGUCUUCGUGAAAACGCAAUCAACACAACUUUCAACACCGGAACUCUCGGCUCACGUAUCAAUGACGAACG